This 389-nucleotide ribosomal RNA is filed under the name Salmonella enterica. RNAcentral describes it as "bacterial SSU rRNA". It matches the Rfam family "Bacterial small subunit ribosomal RNA", at positions 62 to 447 of the family's 1533-position model. The record is from RNAcentral. RNAcentral also lists the same sequence under 2 other names. Lineage: Bacteria; Pseudomonadati; Pseudomonadota; Gammaproteobacteria; Enterobacterales; Enterobacteriaceae.
UCGAACGGUAACAGGAAGCAGCUUGCUGCUUUGCUGACGAGUGGCGGACGGGUGAGUAAUGUCUGGGAAACUGCCUGAUGGAGGGGGAUAACUACUGGAAACGGUGGCUAAUACCGCAUAACGUCGCAAGACCAAAGAGGGGGACCUUCGGGCCUCUUGCCAUCAGAUGUGCCCAGAUGGGAUUAGCUUGUUGGUGAGGUAACGGCUCACCAAGGCGACGAUCCCUAGCUGGUCUGAGAGGAUGACCAGCCACACUGGAACUGAGACACGGUCCAGACUCCUACGGGAGGCAGCAGUGGGGAAUAUUGCACAAUGGGCGCAAGCCUGAUGCAGCCAUGCCGCGUGUAUGAAGAAGGCCUUCGGGUUGUAAAGUACUUUCAGCGGGGAGG